GAGAGAGAGGAGCUGAGCUUUGGCCCCGAGGAGCUGUGUGCAUGGAUCUGGCACAGCUUUGCUCCUUUCACUCCUGGACCUUUGUUUUGGUGGCGAGCGGGGAGAGCAGGGAGCGCUGUGCUCGCGUUUCCCUCCGGCUUACGCACACACACACACACACACACACACACAUACACACACACACACACACACACACACACACACACAAAUCCCCUUUCCAACUUUCUGCCUUUUGCGCUUCCCUCCCAGUUUUUCACUUCUCAGACCUACUGGCAGCAUUUGCCGAGAUCUAGAUCCCCGCCGUGGAUUGGAGAGUGACCAUAACCAGUAUGCGCCCAUCAAAAUGGACAGGGAACAGCAUUAACAGGAUUCUCUACCAUAUAGCUUGGACAAUUCUUCCAAUAGCGGGCUCCAGGGAACCAUCUUUGGGCUUCAUCUCACUUACUCAGCUUCUACUCAAGACUACUGUGCAUCCUAAGCUUUCCCACAGGAUCUACAUUCUUCGUCUGCAAAACAUGUGCUUUUGCUUCUGCACCGAAAUCAAUUACAGAUCUGGGGCCCCUGAGAGGUGGAGAAGUGUCAAAGCACUGGAAUCUCCAUCUGGGAUGGUGCUGCAUCUUCAAGCGCAGGAAUUUCCUAAGAGAUCCUAUUAGCCAGGCUGCAUCCAGACUGAAAAGCUCUCAGCGACAAUGAGGAUGUCAGCAUCACCUGUUCCUGGGCAUGAAGGAAGGAAUUGGCCAGGAGUGCUUCUUCCUGGUGCCCCCUAGGU
This 769-nucleotide long non-coding RNA is filed under the name Gallus gallus (chicken). RNAcentral describes it as "long non-coding RNA NONGGAT009264". Lineage: Eukaryota; Metazoa; Chordata; Aves; Galliformes; Phasianidae. The record is from RNAcentral.